RNAcentral lists this ribosomal RNA (1158 nucleotides) under uncultured bacterium. RNAcentral describes it as "bacterial SSU rRNA". The stretch from base 340 to 1158 matches the Rfam family "Bacterial small subunit ribosomal RNA". The record is from RNAcentral.
CUAACUAUUGUGUCUAUAAGAUGCGUUUCCCCCCCCCCGCGUGACGCAGACACCCCCCGCUGGUGGAAAAUUCAUCCGGAUAAACUCUUUUGGUGGUGAGGAAAUAUUUCAGCGAUAGAUAUCUUUUUACGGGCGCAGACUCGCGUUUGAUAGGAGACUACACGUUCUCCCGCUAAUGGUGUCAGGGAGGUGUCGCGGUGUUUUAUCUCCGCGACAAAACCCACGUUGAUCUUACCGUGUUCUUGUUUUUCUGGUCUAUAGUACCUAGCGGUAGGCGUAUUCAGCAGGGAGCGCGGAAGCCCAGCAUUGUACUGCGUUCGCUGCUGAGGAGGUCGACUUAUUUAGGUGUAGUUGAACUGAGCACGCAGAGGUGAGGGGUAUAGCUGGGUUACGUACCCCGGAUGUCACGCCACCUUACUAUGGAUUCUCUCGUCUUAUGAGGCACGCAAGCGUGGGGAUCAAACAGGAUUAGAUACUUUGGCAGUCGGCGCUCUAACCGAUGAGUACUAGCUGUUAGCGAUUACACAGUUAGCGCCUAAGCGAGAGCGUUAAAGUAUGCUACUUGGGGAGUACGCCCGCAAGGGUGAAACUCAAAGGAAUUGACGGGGGCCCGCACAAGCGGAGGAGCAUGUGGUUUAAUUCGAUGAUACGCGAGGAACCUUACCCGGGCUUGAAAGUUAGUGAAUGGUUUAGAGAUAGAUCAGUGAGCAAUCACACGAAACUAGGUGCUGCAUGGCUGUCGUCAGCUCGUGCCGUGAGGUGUUGGGUUAAGUCCCGCAACGAGCGCAACCCCUAUGUUUAGUUGCCAGCACGUUAAGGUGGGGACUCUAAACAGACUGCCUGUGCAAACAGAGAGGAAGGAGGGGACGACGUCAAGUCAUCAUGGCCCUUACGUCCGGGGCUACACACGUGCUACAAUGGAUGGUACAGAGGGCAGCAAGCUGGCAACAGCAAGCAAAUCUCAAAAAGCCAUUCACAGUUCGGAUAGAGGUCUGCAACUCGACCUCUUGAAGUUGGAUUCGCUAGUAAUCGCGUAUCAGCAAUGACGCGGUGAAUACGUUCCCGGGCCUUGUACACACCGCCCGUCAAGCCAUGGGAGUUGGGGGUACCUAAAGUAUGUAACCGCAAGGAGCGUCCUAGGUAAAUACGACGUGAUUG